UACGGAGGAUGCAAGCGUUAUCCGGAUUUAUUGGGCGUAAAGCGUCCGCAGGUGGUUUUCCAAGUCUGCUGUUAAAGCGCGAGGCUUAACCUCGUACAGGCAGUGGAAACUGGAUGACUAGAGUAUGGUAGGGGUAGCGGGAAUUCCCAGUGUAGCGGUGAAAUGCGUAGAUAUCAGGAGGAACACCAAUGGCGAAGGCAGCUCGCUGGAACGGUACUGACGCUGAGGCGCGAAAGCGUGGGGAGCGAACAGG
RNAcentral lists this ribosomal RNA (253 nucleotides) under uncultured bacterium. RNAcentral's name for it is "partial 16S ribosomal RNA". It matches the Rfam family "Bacterial small subunit ribosomal RNA", at positions 524 to 776 of the family's 1533-position model. The record is from RNAcentral.